This 65-nucleotide unclassified non-coding RNA is filed under the name Moloney murine leukemia virus. Its description in RNAcentral is "RNA (65-MER) from Moloney murine leukemia virus (PDB 2L1F, chain A)". It matches the Rfam family "Gammaretrovirus core encapsidation signal", at positions 34 to 98 of the family's 101-position model. Lineage: Riboviria; Pararnavirae; Artverviricota; Revtraviricetes; Ortervirales; Retroviridae. The record is from RNAcentral.
GGCGGACCCGUGGUGGAACAGACGUGUUCGGAACACCCGGCCGCAACCCUGGGAGACGUCCCAGG